This 494-nucleotide ribosomal RNA is filed under the name uncultured bacterium. RNAcentral describes it as "partial 16S ribosomal RNA". It matches the Rfam family "Bacterial small subunit ribosomal RNA", at positions 28 to 507 of the family's 1533-position model. The record is from RNAcentral.
GACGAACGCUGGCGGCGUGCUUAACACAUGCAAGUCGAACGGUGAAGCGCCUUCCUUUUUGGUGGGUGUGGAUGAGUGGCGAACGGGUGAGUAACACGUGAGUAACCUGCCCCCUUCUUCUGGAUAACCGCAUGAAAGUGUGGCUAAUACGGGAUAUUCUGGGUCUGUCGCAUGAUGGGUCUGGGAAAGAUAUUGUUUCGGUGGGGGAUGGGCUCGCGGCCUAUCAGCUUGUUGGUGGGGUGAUGGCCUACCAAGGCGGUGACGAGUAGCCGGCCUGAGAGGGUGGGCGGUCACACGAGGGCGGAAACACGGCCCAGACUCCGACAGGAAGCAGCAGGGAGGAUUAUGGCACAAUGGACGGGAGGCUGAUGCAGCGACGCCGCGUGAGUGAUGGUGUCCUGCGGGUUAUGAACCUCUUUCGCCGGUGAAGCAGGCCUGCCUCGUUUGUGGGUGGGUUGACGGUAGCUGGAUAAGAAGCGCCGGCUAACUACGUG